This is a small nuclear RNA of Anneissia japonica, 199 nucleotides long. RefSeq annotates it as U2 spliceosomal RNA. The record is from RefSeq and is a predicted model, not a curated record. The transcript has a single exon. Lineage: Eukaryota; Metazoa; Echinodermata; Crinoidea; Comatulida; Comatulidae.
AAUCAUUAGUUGCGUUAACUCUUAAAUCAAAAAGGAGUAUCUGUUCUUUUCAGCUUAAUAUCUGAAAUGCUUCUCAUUGAGUAGCUUCUACAGUAUAUUAAACUGAUUUUUGGAUUUAGGCCAUGGAGUAGGAGCUUGCUCCGUCCUGGCCACGGGUUGGCCAUGGUAUUGCAGUACCUCCAGGAUCGGCCCAUCCUCU